GCCCGUGCUGUUGCGAAUGCUGCGCGUGCACUCUCUUCCGCGGCUGCGUGAUAUUCCACGGGGCGCGCAGCAUCUGCUCCUCCUACCGCGCCCUCGCACGCAUCCCAUCGGCACCUCAUCUUGGCUUCUGCCCCUGAACCCCGUACGUGGGGCUCCAGCGCGCUCAUGUAAAAUAUAUAAAACUGAAGCAGCCGGUGGCCUCUCAAAUGUGGCCGCCGACAUGAACGGAAACGCCCCCCUGAGCCCUGGGACAGGUCCCCGGGGCUGGUCCGAGCCAGUGUGAGCGGCAGAGCCUGGAGGAAGGAGGUGGAGAAGCCACGGGGAGCGAACAGGCCCUUAAAGGGGCAGGAACAUUCCUCCUGCCGCCCUCACCCUACUGCUCUGACAUCCGUCAAGAUCCUAAUCGGCUCUGAAUUCCUGGGCUCUUGCAGGAGCCGCCUUCAGGAUGACCCUGGCCCGGGGCCCCGUUUGCCCGCUCGCUCUCCCUCACUGCACCCC
Myotis brandtii (Brandt's bat) is the source of this 498-nucleotide long non-coding RNA. RefSeq lists it as uncharacterized. The record is from RefSeq and is a predicted model, not a curated record. The transcript has 3 exons. NCBI's taxonomy places the organism in Eukaryota, Metazoa, Chordata, Mammalia, Chiroptera, Vespertilionidae.